RNAcentral lists this ribosomal RNA (460 nucleotides) under uncultured bacterium. Its description in RNAcentral is "partial 16S ribosomal RNA". It matches the Rfam family "Bacterial small subunit ribosomal RNA", at positions 338 to 795 of the family's 1533-position model. The record is from RNAcentral.
CCUACGGAAGUCAGCAGUGAGGAAUAUUGGUCAAUGGACGAGAGUCUGAACCAGCCAAGUAGCGUGAAGGAUGACUGCCCUAUGGGUUGUAAACUUCUUUUAUAAAGGAAUAAAACGAGGCACGUGUGCCUUUUUGCAUGUACUUUAUGAAUAAGGAUCGGCUAACUCCGUUCCAGCAGCCGCGGUAAUACGGAGGAUCCGAGCGUUAUCCGGAUUUAUUGGGUUUAAAGGGAGCGUAGAUGGGUUGUUAAGUCAGUUGUGAAAGUUUGGGGCUCAACCGUAAAAUUGCAAUUGAUACGGGCAGUCUUGAGGGCGCGAAGGGUAGGCGGAAGGCGUGGUGUAGCGGUGAAAUGCAUAGAUAUCACGCAGAACUCCGAUAGCGAAGGCAGCCUACCGGCGCGCAACUGACGCUCAUGCACGAAAGCGUGGGUAUCGAACAGGAUUAGAUACCCCAGUAGUC